AGAACCCCGAAACUGAUGCAAUUGUUGCCACUGCUUCCGCCGAGCUUAGGAGAAUAGAAGAGGAGCAGGAGGCAUCACCAUUGCCACAAUGGUUAAAGGUCGCCAAGGAGAACGUGUAAGACUCUACGUCAGGGGUUCAAUUCUUGGAUACAAGAGGUCCAAGUCAAAUCAAUACCCAAGCACCUCCCUAAUCCAGAUUGAGAAUGUAAACUCUAAGGAAGAAGUUGCGUGGUACUGUGGGAAGCGCAUGGCUUACAUCUACAAAGCGAAGGUAAAGAAGAACGGAAGCCACUAUCGCUGCAUUUGGGGUAAGGUCACCAGGCCUCAUGGUAACAGUGGUAUAGUUCGAGCUAAGUUCAAGUCCAAUCUGCCACCUAGGUCAAUGGGUGCAAGGGUUAGAGUAUUCAUGUAUCCAAGCAAUAUAUGAGAUAUUAAGUGUAAAACCUUUCUGCUUGAGCCUACUCCUUUAUCCGUGGAGAUAUGCUCCAAUGUAAUUGGCUUACAGAUCCAUCCAUUUGUGAAAAGUUGAUUGUUAUUGUGUUGUGAUUUUGCUGUUUUUGCACAUAGUAAGAUUCUCAGGAUUCGUGUGUCGUGGGGCUAGUUUGUCAGAGUAUUUGAAAGGAAUUUGCAUUUUGCGAGUUAAAUGUGUGUUUUUCUUUUUUGGUAGCUCUUGAGCAGAAUAGUAUCUUUGUUUAGGAUGGAGAAUGAACCCCGUGUUUUUCUUUAUUCUCACUGCCAUGGUUAUUAAGGAGGAUUGAGUCUCAAUUUUAUAAACGGAUUUUUCUCCUCACUUGUUGCA
Glycine soja is the source of this 799-nucleotide RNA transcript. It is a transcript of the gene named 60S ribosomal protein L35a-1-like, with no coding region annotated. The transcript has 6 exons. The record is from RefSeq and is a predicted model, not a curated record. NCBI's taxonomy places the organism in Eukaryota, Viridiplantae, Streptophyta, Magnoliopsida, Fabales, Fabaceae.